UUGCCUCUUGUUCCUUUCCUAAUUCAGUCCCACUGUAUGUCGUGGUUGAGAUCUACUGUACGCCAUGGUUAGGAUCUACAACUCCACAAUUCAGUUGGUGCGUAGGGGGCUGUGGUAGUGGUGGUGCUCGUGGUGGUGGUGUUUGGGUGACGAUGGCUUUGUUGGAUUCGAUAAUUAUGGAGAUUAUGUUGGAUCUGGUGGUGGCUGUGGUUUUAUUGGUGGUGGAUCUUGUUGUUGGCGUAGGUGGUUUUGAAGUUGAAAAUGGUGGUUU
RNAcentral lists this long non-coding RNA (271 nucleotides) under Olea europaea (common olive). RNAcentral describes it as "long non-coding RNA (OEUR_LNC006619)". The record is from RNAcentral. Lineage: Eukaryota; Viridiplantae; Streptophyta; Magnoliopsida; Lamiales; Oleaceae.